RNAcentral lists this ribosomal RNA (460 nucleotides) under uncultured bacterium. RNAcentral's name for it is "partial 16S ribosomal RNA". It matches the Rfam family "Bacterial small subunit ribosomal RNA", at positions 338 to 795 of the family's 1533-position model. The record is from RNAcentral.
CCUACGGGAGACAGCAGUGAGGAAUAUUGGUCAAUGGACGAGAGUCUGAACCAGCCAAGUAGCGUGAAGGAUGACUGCCCUAUGGGUUGUAAACUUCUUUUAUAUGGGAAUAAAACGUUCCACGUGUGGGAUUUUGUAUGUACCAUAUGAAUAAGGAUCGGCUAACUCCGUGCCAGCAGCCGCGGUAAUACGGAGGAUCCGAGCGUUAUCCGGAUUUAUUGGGUUUAAAGGGAGCGUAGGUGGAUUGUUAAGUCAGUUGUGAAAGUUUGCGGCUCAACCGUAAAAUUGCAGUUGAAACUGGCAGUCUGGAGUACAGUAGAGGUGGGCGGAAUUCGUGGUGUAGCGGUGAAAUGCUUAGAUAUCACGAAGAACUCCGAUUGCGAAGGCAGCUCACUGGACUGCAACUGACACUGAGGCUCGAAAGUGUGGGUAUCAAACAGGAUUAGAUACCCGGGUAGUC